GAUGAAGAACGUAGCGAAAUGCGAUAAGUAAUGUGAAUUGCAGAAUUCAGUGAAUCAUCGAAUCUUUGAACGCACAUUGCGCCCCUUGGUAUUCCGAGGGGCAUGCCUGUUCGAGCGUCAUUAUAACCCUCAAGCUCAGCUUGGUGUUGGGGCCUGCUGCACUGGCAGCCCUUAAAAUCAGUGGCGGCGCCAUCUGGCUCUAAGCGUAGUAAUUCUUCUCGCUAUGGAGUCCUGGUGGAUGCUUGCCAUCAACCCCCAAUUUUUCUAUGGUUGACCUCGGAUCAGGUAGGGAUACCCGCUGAACUUAAGGAUAUCAAUAAGCGGAGGA
RNAcentral lists this unclassified non-coding RNA (328 nucleotides) under soil metagenome. Its description in RNAcentral is "partial contains 5.8S ribosomal RNA, internal transcribed spacer 2, and large subunit ribosomal RNA". The stretch from base 1 to 120 matches the Rfam family "5.8S ribosomal RNA", at positions 35 to 154 of the family's 154-position model. The record is from RNAcentral.